This is a non-coding RNA of Salmo salar (Atlantic salmon), 54 nucleotides long. NCBI's taxonomy places the organism in Eukaryota, Metazoa, Chordata, Actinopteri, Salmoniformes, Salmonidae. The record is from Rfam.
UGUAUUCACUACUGUAAGUCGCUCUGGAUAAAAGUGUCUGCUAAAUGACUAAAA